CCUACGGGAGGCAGCAGUAGGGAAUCUUCCACAAUGGACGAAAGUCUGAUGGAGCAACGCCGCGUGAGUGAAGAAGGGUUUCGGCUCGUAAAGCUCUGUUGGUAGUGAAGAAAGAUAGAGGUAGUAACUGGCCUUUAUUUGACGGUAAUUACUUAGAAAGUCACGGCUAAAUACGUGCCAGCAGCCCCGUUAAUACGUAGGGGGCAAGCGGUGGCCGGAUUUAUUGGGCGUAAAGCGAGUGCAGGCGGUUCAGUAAGUCCGAUGGGAAAGCCCUCGGCCCAACCGGAGAAUUGCAUUGGAAACUGUUGAACUGGAGUGCAGAAGAGGAGAGUGGAACUCCAUGUGUAGCGGUGGAAUGCGUAGAUAUAUGGAAGAACACCAGUGGCGAAGGCGGCUCUCUGGUCUGCAACUGACGCUGAGGCUCGAAAGCAUGGGUAGCGAACAGGAUUAGAUACCCGGGUAGUC
This 465-nucleotide ribosomal RNA is filed under the name uncultured bacterium. RNAcentral describes it as "partial 16S ribosomal RNA". It matches the Rfam family "Bacterial small subunit ribosomal RNA", at positions 338 to 795 of the family's 1533-position model. The record is from RNAcentral.